AAAGAUUAAGCCAUGCAUGUCUAAGUAUAAACGAUCUAAUCGUGAAACCGCGAAUGGCUCAUUAUAACAGCUAAAAUCUACUUGAUCUUGACACAAUCCUACUUGGAUAACUGUGGUAAUUCUAGAGCUAAUACAUGCAUUAAAGCUCUGACCUCACGGGAAGAGUGCACUUAUUAGAACAAAACCAAGCGGCUUCGGCUGUUUCUGGUUGACUCAUAGUAACUGAGCUGAUCGCACGGUCUUGCACCGGCGACGUGUCUUUCGAGUAUCUGCCGUAUCAACUUUCGAUGGUAGUGUAUCUGACUACCAUGGUGAUCACGCGUAACGGAGAAUAAGGGUUCGGCUCCGGAGAGUUCGCCUGAGAAAUCGCGAACACAUCUAAGGAAGGCAGCAGGCGCGAAAAUUACCCACUCUCAGCACGAGGAGGUAGUGACGAAAAAUAACGAGACCGUUCUCUUAUGAGGCCGGUCAUCGGAAUGGGUACAAUUUAAACCCUUUAACGAGUAUCUAUGAGAGGGCAAGUCUGGUGCCAGCAGCCGCGGUAACUCCAGCUCUCAAAGUGCAUAGAAUUAUUGCUGCGGUUAAAAAGCUCGUAGUUGGAUCUGUGCCAUAGGACGUGGUCCACCUUCUGGGUGCGUACUAUGUUCCUAGGCUUUUUGCUGGUUUUCCCGUCGUAGCCUUAACUGGUUGCGGCGGGUGGCUGGCGAGUUUACUUUGAGAAAAUCAGAGUGCUCAACACAGGCGUAUCGCUUGAAUGAUUGUGCAUGGAAUAAUAGAAAAGGAUUUCGGUCCUCUUUUAUUGGUUUUGUGGACUGAGAUAAUGGUUAACAGGGACCAACGGGGGCAUUCGUAUCGCUGCGUGAGAGGUGAAAUUCUUGGACCGUA
This 885-nucleotide ribosomal RNA is filed under the name Chiloplacus propinquus. RNAcentral describes it as "SSU rRNA". It matches the Rfam family "Eukaryotic small subunit ribosomal RNA", at positions 39 to 929 of the family's 1831-position model. Lineage: Eukaryota; Metazoa; Nematoda; Chromadorea; Rhabditida; Cephalobidae. The record is from RNAcentral.